This 253-nucleotide ribosomal RNA is filed under the name uncultured bacterium. RNAcentral describes it as "partial 16S ribosomal RNA". It matches the Rfam family "Bacterial small subunit ribosomal RNA", at positions 524 to 776 of the family's 1533-position model. The record is from RNAcentral.
UACGGGGGGGGCAAGCGUUGUUCGGAAUUACUGGGCGGAAAGGGCUCGUAGGCGGCCAACUAAGUCAGACGUGAAAUCCCUCGGCUUAACCGGGGAACUGCGUCUGAUACUGGAUGGCUUGAGUUCGGGAGAGGGAUGUGGAAUUCCAGGUGUAGCGGUGAAAUGCGUAGAUAUCUGGAGGAACACCGGUGGCGAAGGCGGCAUCCUGGACCGACACUGACGCUGAUGAGCGAAAGCCAGGGGAGCAAACGGG